RNAcentral lists this ribosomal RNA (450 nucleotides) under uncultured bacterium. Its description in RNAcentral is "partial 16S ribosomal RNA". It matches the Rfam family "Bacterial small subunit ribosomal RNA", at positions 354 to 796 of the family's 1533-position model. The record is from RNAcentral.
GUGGGGAAUAUUGGACAAUGGGCGAAAGCCUGAUCCAGCCAUGCCGCGUGUGUGAAGAAGGUCUUCGGAUUGUAAAGCACUUUAAGUUGGGAGGAAGGGCAGUAAGUUAAUACCUUGCUGUUUUGACGUUACCAACAGAAUAAGCACCGGCUAACUUCGUGCCAGCAGCCGCGGUAAUACGAAGGGUGCAAGCGUUAAUCGGAAUUACUGGGCGUAAAGCGCGCGUAGGUGGUUCAGUAAGUUGGAAGUGAAAUCCCCGGGCUCAACCUGGGAACUGCUUUCAAAACUGCUGAGCUAGAGUACGGUAGAGGGUGGUGGAAUUUCCUGUGUAGCGGUGAAAUGCGUAGAUAUAGGAAGGAACACCAGUGGCGAAGGCGACUACCUGGACUGAUACUGACACUGAGGUGCGAAAGCGUGGGGAGCAAACAGGAUUAGAAACCCUGGUAGUCC